AGAGGUUAAUUGGACAAAAAUUAAUCGUGACGUAAAUUUUUCUUCAUCGGCCGGUUGUUUUCGACUAUAUCAGACACGAUCGAUAAGACUCGGUGUGUUUAACGGUGUGCAGGUGCUAUGCCACCUUGGUAACGUUUCCCUCUCCGAAUCGCCGUUGUUUUUCUCUUUCUCCCUUUCUCUUUCACGCGUCAGGAGGAGACGAGAAUGUGAGGCUCGCGGAAUCAGAGUAGGGAGUUUGUUUGCGCGAUUCGGACGGUGGCGAGGAAAAAUUCAGUGUAGAAAAAAAAAACGUUUUAACUCGAUCAGUCUUGAGCCAUCUCCGAUGGUGUGAUAAAUUUUGUACAAGACCCAACGAAAUUGAAUAAAUCGUGAUUGAAAAUGUUGGACCGACCUUGUCUCGAUGCAAAAUGUGCAACGAAGAAUCCUUCGAGAGUCCCACAGUUUCGUACCGACGUUGACGAUAACGAGAUAGGAAAGAAAAGUCCUCGGAUCGAACCAUGCGGAUUUCAAAAUUUUCCAAAGAUCUCGAACCAAGCUGCCCGUCCGACGAUGAUGGAUACACCGGCGGUGAACGGAUUGGAAGCGCGAUGCUCCGAGAGUGAAAACGCUACUCAGGCGGCGGCUCCAGCCUAUUUCCCUCAACCGGAGGAUGCUUUACCGCGACAACCGGAAGGCCCAAUGGGAGCCAUAGGUCCAUGGGCAACCGGUCGGGUGACUUACAAUCGAACGAAUGGCAUGACCGGGAUCCGGCCUGUAGUUGAUCGCUACUCCAUCACGAAAUACAGUGCCUCUCAAUGGAGAGCUCACAAUCGAAAUUUUUUCGACCAGACGAAUGCGAGAAUCGCCACAGCCGAAGACAUGUCGAGAAAAUCAAAAUUCACCGAAAUAAAUGCUCAAAUUUACAAAGAAACGGAUUCUCAUCAAUUGGAAAAUCGUGAUCGUUUGAGCAAGCGUGCCGGCGUUGUUUAUGGAUGGAAAGCAGAACUUGAGCGAGCUUGGACCGAGAUGGUUGAGGAAAUCGAGCUUCUGGAGGGAGAACGUCGUCGAGUCAAACAGUCGCUCUCGGUUCUAACUAUUCCUGAAUCGAUAGCCGGUGAUUUGUUGCAAUUACGGACGUGCCGUAUGGAACCCGAUCUCGUAAGAGAUGCGGUCGAGGACGAGCUCGUCAAGGAGGUAGCUCUGUGUUCCGAGAUACGAAACACCCUCGUGGAUUUACGGGAGCGAAUCGAGACACAGCUCGUCGAGUUAAAAACCGCAAAGUCAAGAAUGGAAUUCGAUUUCACGGAUAAAAGGGACGCCUAUGAGACAGAGAGCUCUUGCAUUCAUUUGAACAACGAUUCACCUGUGAUUCUGAUUAGAGAGGGGGCGACGAGAAUUCCACCAGAGCAAACGACACCUGCCGGAUAUGAUCAUUUCACAAGAGAGAGCCUCGAAGCGGGUGAAGAUGCUAAACGAAAAUCGGUCGACCUCAGAUCGUCUUUGGACGUGGUUUAUUCCGAUGGGAUGAAGAAUCUUCGAUCCCAGGCCAUGGCCGUUGACAGAGCUCUGGCCGAAAAAAUUCACGUAACCGAAGAAUGUUGCCAACAACUCGAGACGACACUAGUCAGAUAUCUUAAUCUUUGCAGUGCUUGGCACAAUUGUCCAGUACCGAAGCGGUUAUCGAGGAAUUGCGCGGAGCCGCUAAAAAAGUGAAGGAUGCUUUGAAAGUCGCUCAAACGCGUUUGGACUAUCGAUUACAGCGUCGGAACGUCGAGAGUUGUCGCGACGUUCCUCAAUACGGCCUGCUCGAAGAAGUAAGAGCGCUGAAUGAAAGUCUCGCAAAUAUGGAAGGACAGGUUCGAGAAGCGGAGGAGGCACAAGCGGGUUUGGUAAAAACGAGAAACGAUCUGGAGUACGAAAUAGUGGUGAA
Molecule: unclassified non-coding RNA, 1909 nt
Filed under: Venturia canescens
Lineage: Eukaryota; Metazoa; Arthropoda; Insecta; Hymenoptera; Ichneumonidae
Description: tektin-4-like, transcript variant X1
Source: RNAcentral